CCUACGGGCGGCAGCAGUGAGGAAUAUUGGUCAAUGGUCGAGAGGCUGAACCAGCCAAGUCGCGUGAGGGAAGACGGCCCUACGGGUUGUAAACCUCUUUUGUCGGGGAGUAAAGCGAACCACGUGUGGUUCAUUGAGAGUACCCGAAGAAAAAGCAUCGGCUAACUCCGUGCCAGCAGCCGCGGUAAUACGGAGGAUGCGAGCGUUAUCCGGAUUUAUUGGGUUUAAAGGGAGCGUAGGCGGGUUGUCAAGCCUGCUGUGAAAGGUCGGGGCUCAACCCGGGCCUUGCAGGGAGGACUGGCGUGCUGGAGUACGCGGGAGGCAGGCGGAAUUCGUGGUGUAGCGGUGAAAUGCUUAGAUAUGACGAAGAACCCCGAUUGCGAAGGCAGCUUGCUAAAGCGGAACUGACGCUGAUGCUCGAAAGCGCGGGUAUCGAACAGGAUUAGAUACCCUUGUAGUC
This 460-nucleotide ribosomal RNA is filed under the name uncultured bacterium. RNAcentral's name for it is "partial 16S ribosomal RNA". It matches the Rfam family "Bacterial small subunit ribosomal RNA", at positions 338 to 795 of the family's 1533-position model. The record is from RNAcentral.